Molecule: long non-coding RNA, 593 nt
Filed under: Homo sapiens (human)
Lineage: Eukaryota; Metazoa; Chordata; Mammalia; Primates; Hominidae
Description: novel transcript
Source: RNAcentral
UGUGGGCACAUACGCCGUGUGCUGGUGCAGUUGGAACACCGGCAGAUUCACAGGCUGUCCCAGUUGGAAGGACUUUUGGAAACCAGUCGGACCAGCCCUUCAUGUCUUCGAUGUAAAAUAGAGAGAGGCUGAACUGCGAGGUGGCCACCAACACAGAGGCCCUGCAGAGCGGCAGGAUGGAGAUAUGGAGCUCUACAUCUCUGUGCAGAACCUGAGCCGUCCCAGCUCAGCAAGAAAGCAUCGCUGGAGGGCAGCCUGGUGGAGACGGAGGUGUGUUACAGGACCCAGCUGGCCCAGCUGCAGGGGCUCAUCAGAAGCAUGGAACAGCAGCUGUGCGAGCUCUGCUGUGAUGCAGAGCACCAGGACCACGAGCACCAGGUCCUUCUGGACGUGAAGACGCGGCUGGAGCAGGAGAUCGCCACCUACAGCCGCUUGCUAGAGGUUGAGGACGCCCGGUGAGUGUGCACCCAGGGGAACCUCCUCUGCCAGGGCCUGCUUCUCCCCAGCAGUGCUUACAGGGGCCUGGGCUGGCUGGCAUCCCUGGGUCGAUGGGUGCUCCUCUCCCUGCAGGCUGGCCACUCAGUACUCCUUGU